CCGGGGGCAGGAGGUUCGACUCGAGCGAAGCGAGAGAACGUUGCGUCAGCAACGGACCGCAGGGCGAGCCACAAAGUGGCGAGUCAUCCUCUAUCACCGACCA
This 103-nucleotide small RNA is filed under the name Klebsiella quasipneumoniae subsp. similipneumoniae. Its description in RNAcentral is "partial RtT sRNA". It matches the Rfam family "RtT RNA", at positions 29 to 130 of the family's 130-position model. From Rfam's summary of the family: This family represents a bacterial cis-regulatory element known as RtT RNA. The exact function of RtT is unknown although it is thought that it may be involved in changing the cellular response in relation to amino acid starvation. The record is from RNAcentral. Lineage: Bacteria; Pseudomonadati; Pseudomonadota; Gammaproteobacteria; Enterobacterales; Enterobacteriaceae.